Molecule: long non-coding RNA, 751 nt
Organism: Alligator mississippiensis (American alligator)
Lineage: Eukaryota; Metazoa; Chordata; Crocodylia; Alligatoridae
Exons: 3
Source: RefSeq, a predicted model, not a curated record
CCUCACAAAUCUAUCCAUGCUGAGGUGCUGUAUAUAUAUCUGCCCUAGCUUGGUCAUCCCAGCACUCCCUACAUCCAGAGAGGAUCUACAGAAAAAAUGAAGAGAAAGCCCAACAGAAUCUGCAGAAAAUGGGACAGUAAAAUGAGGUGUGCCCUCAUCUACCCUGCCCUCCGUUGCCCGCUCUCACCACUUAACCACUCGUUCCACAACUGACUGAGCAUUCUUGAUUCAACUUUGUAGGGAGAGCAUUUCAGAACUGGCCAACACCUCCCCUCCCAUCCUCACACAAAUCUUGGAUGCUGAAUGUAUUUGUGAGGAGGACUUCAGCUUCUGAAUGAGAUAUUAUAAAGCCUAUGUCACAGGUCUGAGUGCCAAGCUCACCCAAAAGAAGCAAAACUGACUUUUCCAAAUGGCUUCAGAAAGAAAAAUGGGAUAAAGGCUGUGAAGCAUCCUGCCACCACAGGAUUCUCCUAUACUGGGCAUGGAGAUCACCAUGUGCCAAUGAACUGACCUGGCAACUGAACCGUGACAUGGAUGUUGCCUCAUACUCUUCCUGGAGGACAAGCCAAUAGCAAUGGUUGGAAAGAAAAAUGUUUUGCUAUCAGCAAAUGGCAAUUCAUUGAAAGCAAAACAGGAAAACGUUGAUGAGAUUUUGGGUUUUUUUGGAGGGAAAAUCAGGAAUGAGCGUUUCGAUUUUCCAUUUUGAGACAACUUUUUGUGUAAACUUGUGGCUUUUGUAAAAUUAAAAAUU